RNAcentral lists this unclassified non-coding RNA (339 nucleotides) under uncultured fungus. Its description in RNAcentral is "partial contains small subunit ribosomal RNA, internal transcribed spacer 1, and 5.8S ribosomal RNA". The stretch from base 1 to 73 matches the Rfam family "Eukaryotic small subunit ribosomal RNA", at positions 1759 to 1831 of the family's 1831-position model. The record is from RNAcentral. Lineage: Eukaryota; Fungi.
UCAAACUUGGUCAUUUAGAGGAAGUAAAAGUCGUAACAAGGUAACCGUAGGUGAACCUGCGGUUGGAUCAUUAAAAAAUCUUUCCAGGUGGAAGCGCGCCCAGCGCGCGGAAGCCACACCCACACCUUUGUGAACCACAAACGUAUUUUGGUGAGGCCUCUGCUUCGGGAGUUUUCUCUUGUGGCACUGGGAUGCAGCGCUGUCCAAGGAUGGCGCCGCUCCGUUCGCCUCACCGACCCACACCUGUUUACCUAUAUUUUUGUAUCAAUCAAGAGAAAUCAAUGAGAAACAACUUUAGACAACGGAUCUCUUGGCUCUCGCAUCGAUGAAGAACGCAGC